GAGUGAAAUCAUUGGAGCAAAAAGCGACAGGUAAAUAAACUUGUGUGACUGUCAUGUGAAUCGGCUUUCUCGGUUGCCUAGGUAAUAUCACUCCGCCGCUGCUGUGGCCUGUGCUACCAACUACAGGGAACAAAGUAUAACUAUCGCAAU
This is a long non-coding RNA of Etheostoma spectabile (orangethroat darter), 150 nucleotides long. RefSeq lists it as uncharacterized. The record is from RefSeq and is a predicted model, not a curated record. The transcript has 3 exons. NCBI's taxonomy places the organism in Eukaryota, Metazoa, Chordata, Actinopteri, Perciformes, Percidae.